Molecule: transfer RNA, 71 nt
Filed under: Sphingobacteriales bacterium 40-81
Lineage: Bacteria; Pseudomonadati; Bacteroidota; Sphingobacteriia; Sphingobacteriales
Also listed under: 1 other name
Description: tRNA-Met
Rfam family: tRNA
About the family: Transfer RNA (tRNA) molecules are approximately 80 nucleotides in length.
Source: RNAcentral
UGCGGUUUAGAGUAAAGGUAACUCAAUGGUCUCAUAAGCCAUAGCUGCAGGUUCGACUCCUGUAGCCGCAA